UGAGGAAUAUUGGGCAAUGGGCGAAAGCCUGACCCAGCAACGCCGCGUGAGGGAAGAAGGUUUUCGGAUUGUAAACCUCUGUCCUAAGUGACGAAGGAAGUGACGGUAGCUUAGGAGGAAGCCCCGCUAACUACGUGCCAGCAGCCGCGGUAAUACGUAGGGGGCGAGCGUUGUCCGGAAUGACUGGGCGUAAAGGGCGUGUAGGCGGUUUUUUAAGUCUGGAGUGAAAGUCCUGCUUUCAAGGUGGGAAUUGCUUUGGAUACUGGAGAACUUGAGUGCGGAAGAGGUAAGUGGAAUUCCCAGUGUAGCGGUGAAAUGCGUAGAGAUUGGGAGGAACACCAGUGGCGAAGGCGACUUACUGGGCCGUAACUGACGCUGAGGCGCGAAAGCGUGGGGAGCGAACAGGAUUAGAUACCC
Molecule: ribosomal RNA, 417 nt
Filed under: uncultured bacterium
Lineage: Bacteria
Description: bacterial SSU rRNA
Rfam family: Bacterial small subunit ribosomal RNA
Source: RNAcentral